AGAGUUUGAUCCUGGCUCAGAUUGAACGCUGGCGGAAUGCUUUACACAUGCAAGUCGAGCGGCAGCGCGGGGCAACCUGGCGGCGAGCGGCGAACGGGUGAGUAAUAUAUCGGAACGUAUCCUUAAGUGGGGGACAACCUAGCGAAAGUUAGGCUAAUACCGCAUACGCAGGGAACUGGAAAGUGGGGGAUCGCAAGACCUCACGCUUUUGGAGCGGCCGAUAUCAGAUUAGCUUGUUGGUGAGGUAAAGGCUCACCAAGGCGACGAUCUGUAGCUGGUCUGAGAGGAUGAUCAGCCACACUGGGACUGAGACACGGCCCAGACUCCUACGGGAGGCAGCAGUGGGGAAUUUUGGACAAUGGGGGCAACCCUGAUCCAGCCAUUCCGCGUGAGUGAAGAAGGCCUUCGGGUUGUAAAGCUCUUUUGUUCGGGACGAAACGGUUAAGGUUAAUAACCUUGACUAAUGACGGUACCGGAAGAAUAAGCACCGGCUAACUACGUGCCAGCAGCCGCGGUAAUACGUAGGGUGCGAGCGUUAAUCGGAAUUACUGGGCGUAAAGCGUGCGCAGGCGGUUUUAUAAGCCA
RNAcentral lists this ribosomal RNA (585 nucleotides) under uncultured bacterium. RNAcentral's name for it is "bacterial SSU rRNA". It matches the Rfam family "Bacterial small subunit ribosomal RNA", at positions 8 to 590 of the family's 1533-position model. The record is from RNAcentral.